GACAGAGGUGGCAAGCGUUGUUCGGAAUCAUUGGGCUUAAAGGGUGCGUAGGCGGCUUCGCAAGUGUCUUGUGAAAUCCCACGGCUCAACCGUGGAACUGCUGGGCAAACUGCGAAGCUUGAGGUCGGUAGAGAUUUCUGGAACUCCAGGUGGAGCGGUGAAAUGCUUAGAUAUCUGGAUGAGCGCCUGAGGCGAAAGCGGGACACUUGGCCGAUUCUGACGCUGAGACAGGGAGGCGUUGGGAGCAAUCAUU
This 253-nucleotide ribosomal RNA is filed under the name uncultured bacterium. RNAcentral's name for it is "partial 16S ribosomal RNA". It matches the Rfam family "Bacterial small subunit ribosomal RNA", at positions 524 to 776 of the family's 1533-position model. The record is from RNAcentral.